RNAcentral lists this ribosomal RNA (491 nucleotides) under uncultured bacterium. RNAcentral describes it as "partial 16S ribosomal RNA". It matches the Rfam family "Bacterial small subunit ribosomal RNA", at positions 29 to 507 of the family's 1533-position model. The record is from RNAcentral.
GUGAACGCUGGCGGUAGGCCUAACCCAUGCAAGUCGGACGGCAGCACAGUAAGAGCUUGCUCUUACGGGUGGCGAGUGGCGGACGGGUGAGGAAUACAUCGGAAUCUACUUUUUCGUGGGGGAUAACGUAGGGAAACUUACGCUAAUACCGCAUACGACCUACGGGUGAAAGCAGGGGAUCUUCGGACCUUGCGCGAUUGAAUGAGCCGAUGUCGGAUUAGCUAGUUGGCGGGGUAAAGGCCCACCAAGGCGACGAUCCGUAGCUGGUCUGAGAGGAUGAUCAGCCACACUGGAACUGAGACACGGUCCAGACUCCUACGGGAGGCAGCAGUGGGGAAUAUUGGACAAUGGGCGCAAGCCUGAUCCAGCCAUACCGCGUGGGUGAAGAAGGCCUUCGGGUUGUAAAGCCCUUUUGUUGGGAAAGAAAAGCAGCAGGUUAAUACCCCGCUGUUCUGACGGUACCCAAAGAAUAAGCACCGGCUAACUUCGUG